GACUAUCGACGUGAGUGCUGUGAAUAAUCGAACAGUUUGCUGAUUCAUUCAGCCCUGCCACCCAAGUAAAAUAUGCCUUUCUGAGUUUCACGCCCUCUUCAGCGAUA
Molecule: ribosomal RNA, 107 nt
Filed under: Scyphosphaera apsteinii
Lineage: Eukaryota; Haptophyta; Coccosphaerales; Pontosphaeraceae
Description: partial 5.8S ribosomal RNA
Source: RNAcentral